AUUUCAUACAUAUGUUUAUAUAUUUAAAAAAUGAACAUGUAUUAUCCCAUUCCAAUAAACAACUAAUAAAUCAUUCCCUAUAAUAGUUAUACAUUCUAGGGCAGUCGUUUAUGGUUGUCAAAAGGUUUAGAAUUCCAUCACAGAAAUUUUGUAGCAGUCUUCAAAGAUGACUCAGUCUAGUCCAGUUAUACAGAUAACGAAACUGAGGCCCAGAGAAGGGAAGAAACAUGAAAACAAGGGUGCCAGCUGUGGCAGCAACUCACAGUAGAACUCAUUCUGUUGUUAACCAGCUUUAGGAAUUCCCCCCACAUUCUGAGUAACCCGAUAACCAAGGAUCAUCCUGGGAAAUCCCUCUACAAUCUAAAUUCUCUCUGAAACAAGGUGGCUAUUAGUGGGUGUGGAUACAGGUCCUAAACUUGCCAACGUGAUUCAGUAGCUACAUGUAUAGUUUUACCCCAUGCUGCUGAAAGGGAAAAAAAAAUCUCACAAAAUUUUAGAGCUAGGAAGGAUCUUGCUAACCCACCUCACUUUACGUAUAAGCAAGCUAAGGAAUACACAGGUUAAGACAUUUGUCCAAAACCACCAAUUGCAAAGCUGGUAAUAAAAUUUUGCCGUAACAGAAAUCCUCGGAUCAACUCAAGGGCACAUUGGGUGACUCCUGUCAUGCUGCAAGGCCAAAAAGAACCACCAAAGAGGCAGCAAAAUAUUUCCUAAGAAGUGCCGGCAGCUUUGCACUAAGUUCCAAUUUUUCUAACUGAAAAAGCUAUUUUUGCAGUGUGGUUCCUGAGAAAGGCUGACUCACUGAAAAAGUGGGGAACAAUUUACUCACAGUGGACUUCUCUAAAUUGGCGAUGUUUCUCUGUGUCCCUUAAUCAGCCAGUGGGAUCUCCACAAAUAGGAACCCACCCAACCAUUUUCUUGCUUCUCAUUGUUCUUAGACUGAAAACAGAAUUCUUUACACAUUCUACAAGGCCAGGGCCGCUGGAUAGAGUUACAGUUGUGGAGUUGGUGCCUGGCUGAGGGGGUUCUUGCUCUGUCAUUCAAGCUGGAGUGUGAUGGCACGGUCAUAGCUCACUGCAGCCUCUACCUUCCAGUCAAGUGCCCUUCCUCAGCCUCCCAAGUAGCUCAAACUACAGGAAUCACAGCUGUCCUGUUCUUCACUAUGUCCUAGCAGUGUCUGAGAAGUUGAUCAAGGUGGAGAUUUCUACUGUGUGUGAUGUGAAAAGAAUAUCUUAAUGCCAAAACGUCUCACAUCAAGGAUGCAGAAGGUUACAUUUUCACAUACACUCUAGAAGACAUCCUGAGAAACUCUGAGACAAGUCAAUGGAGGACCCAGAGGAACAGCUUGCAGCACUGCCUUCACCUAGCCAUCUACUAGCAUCACUGAAAGUGGAUAGUUCUUUUGAGAAUGAGAAGUGUUCCAGAAUCAAGGGAGCUCCCUAACCCUGAAGAUGUGUGGUUUCUUCCUCAUGACUCAUAGGACGAUGGAAUAGUAAUUAAGAGCACAUGCCUAAGUUUGUGACUUUGGGUAAAUCAUUUAACCUCUCUGAGCCUCAGGUUUAAUGAUAAAAAUAACAACAGGGUUUUAAAAAUUGGAUUCUAUGAGAUGAUGCAAGUAAAAUACUUUGCAGAGUACCUGACACACAGAGCACUCAAUACAUCUUUAUUUAUAUUAUUAAAUUAUAAAGAAAGAAAAGAGAGCAAUUUACAGAAAAAACUGACUAUGUUUAUAAUUGCAUAGAAAACAGUUGAAGGUUAUAUGCCAAACUUUUACUGAAGUAUGAAGGAAAUUUCACAUUUUAUCCACAUAAUUUUCAAAUCAACCUUUAUUAUUGGCCUAUAUUUUUCAUAAGUUUUUAAAAAUCAGAGUAAGUUUUAAAAACUUCAUGGCUACUUUUCACUUUUUCACUUCAAAAAUUUCAUUGACAACCAACAAGUCUUAUUUGAAAGGAGAAUGAGGAGGGCCAACACCCCUAAACUACCUGAGUUAGUGGCCUAAGGCACAAUACUGAUGUAGCUAUAUUUAGUCAAACGGCUGGCCCCUGGCCUUCACAGUGAAAAAUGGAUUCCAUCAAAGGCAGCAAGGCUGCCUGAGCUUGUGCCUGGUCUCUGGCAGCACACAUCUCUGAAAAAAAUAAACUUUUUUUUUUAAUUGGUCUGUGUCAAACUUUGCCCCACAUCUAAGUUUUUGAAGUUAACCUCAAGAAAAUACCUCCAUAACUAGAUCACCAGGUAAGAUAAGAUGCCUGUCUACUUCUUUGCAAAGAGAAAGCAAAGAAACAAAAACCAAAUAACUCAUGUAAACCUAUUUACUAUUUUGUUUUAAAGACAUUUUUGGCCAGGCUCGGUGGCCCCUGCCUGUAAUCUCAGUGCUUUGGGAAGCCAAGGUGAAAAGAUGGCUUGAGUCCAGGAGUCAAGACCAGCCUAGGCAACAGAGUGAGGCCCACAUCUCUUAAAAAAAUUAGCCAGGUGUGGUGUCACACACUUGUGGUCCCAGCUACUUGGGAGGCUGAGGUAGGUAGACUGCUUGAGCCCAGGAGGUUGAGGCUGUAGUGAGUUGUGAUCGCACCACUGCACUCCAGCCUGAGCAACAGUAGGAGGUGUCUCAGUCUCAAAAAAAUAAAAAAGAGAAUAGAAAUUUUUUAGUGUUUCAGA
Molecule: long non-coding RNA, 2655 nt
Organism: Callithrix jacchus (white-tufted-ear marmoset)
Lineage: Eukaryota; Metazoa; Chordata; Mammalia; Primates; Cebidae
Source: RefSeq, a predicted model, not a curated record